RNAcentral lists this long non-coding RNA (363 nucleotides) under Sorghum bicolor (sorghum). RNAcentral describes it as "long non-coding RNA (SBIC_LNC011192)". Lineage: Eukaryota; Viridiplantae; Streptophyta; Magnoliopsida; Poales; Poaceae. The record is from RNAcentral.
GGCAUUAGCACUGUAAAGUGUAAAGACAGGAGGAUUAUAGGAUGCUACUAAUCAAACCGGCUCGAGCAGGUGCGAAUAAGAGCCGCUGUCGUGGGAGGAAAGCAAGUCCAGUGACAUGGACGCGCACCAGACGCCGGUUAUAAUUUACAUAUAUACAUACAUGUGCUUUCAUCAAAAGCUAGCUAAUGGAACUGUACAAUGAUUGCAACGUCGACAGACAUGCAGGCCACCCACUGGGGUUAUCGAUCCCAUGGCUGAGCUUUGCGUUAUUUGGUGACGAUCUUGCUAAGAUUCUUCCGUGUGUGACAUUUGAUUAAUCCCAUGCAUUGCCGCCAUGGAAUCCAUUAUAUAUGUGUAUAUAUA